GAGGAUGAUGAUUUCAAAUUUGUCGCCCCAGUCUUAGGGUCUGCCUAGGUGGAUCUGUGCUGAUUGACAUACUUCAGAAUCUGACUC
Molecule: small nucleolar RNA, 87 nt
Organism: Lolium perenne
Lineage: Eukaryota; Viridiplantae; Streptophyta; Magnoliopsida; Poales; Poaceae
Product: small nucleolar RNA U31b
Source: RefSeq, a predicted model, not a curated record